This is a non-coding RNA of Misgurnus anguillicaudatus (oriental weatherfish), 616 nucleotides long. NCBI's taxonomy places the organism in Eukaryota, Metazoa, Chordata, Actinopteri, Cypriniformes, Cobitidae. The record is from RefSeq and is a predicted model, not a curated record.
GUAGCAGUUACAAUGACUCAUGCAGGGUACUUCCGGCCUCUGGCCUACUUGCAGUGUCCUAUAUUCACACAAACAUAUACACCUGUUUGAAUCGGAGUUUACAUUUGAUGUAUUUACUGUGACAUAGCACUGGGUUAACACACAAAAAAUGUACACCCCUGGUUGGUUGACAGCUUAUAUCUGUGGAUAGAUUCUUUGUUUAAUAAAGCUGAAUGUACCAUUAAUAGCGGGAAGCAUUGCUAACUGUGACCUUGUCUGUUAAAUCCUAGUAUCAUAAUCAAAUGAUCUAGUUUAAUUUUAAUUAUUGGUUUGUCAAUCAACUAAUAACCAUCUAGUACAGCUACUGUGCAUUCAGAAAGUAUUCAGAGCCCCUUCACUUUGAUCAAUUUUGUUAUAUUGCAGCCUGAAACUACAUUAGUUUAAAAAAUUUUUUUUUCAAAUUAAUCUACUCUCAGUACCCCAUAAUGACAAAGUGAAACCACAAUUAAAUUAAGUCUGUAGAUAUAUUAAAAACAAAAAAUCUGAAAUAUCAAAUGAACAUUAGUAUUCAGACCCUUUGCAACACUUGACCUUUACAAAACCUUGAUUGGAGUCCACCUAUGGUAAAUAAAAAUAA